CCCAACUAAAGUAUUAUCAGCUAAAUAAAGAGCACGAAGAGAUGAUAUGUUCCCUAUUGAAGGUGGGAUGGAUCCAUCAAAAUGGUUCCGCGCAACAGAAAACACAUUAAGCUUAGACCAGGAAGAAAAAUCAGUGGGCAGUNGCGAAUGUUCCUUAAUGUUUCACACUCUGCCAAAAAUGUCUUGUUGGCUCCAUGUAUUUCACCGUUUAGUACCUUCACAGCAACUAAGUGUUCCACUGAUUCAAGAUGUCCUUUGUAAACAGAACCAUAUCUUCCUUCACCGAUCAAAUUGUCCGGAGAAAACUCAUUUGUAGCUAGUAGAAGGUCUUGGUAUGAAAGUUUGGGAUAGUGGUCAUCCUUCAAUCCUGAAACAGGCUCAUUCAACUUCUUGUAAUUUAGACGUCGGUAUGAAAUUAAAGCAAGACAUGCUAACAAGACACCAAGGGGUACAAGAACUAAGAUCAGUAUUGUUCUUAAGGCAAAUGUUUUUUUCUUCUUCCUGGAAACUUUGUCUGGACAAGAAGGCAAAUGCAGUGCUUGAACACCUCCACAAAGUUCCCAAUUUCCAACGACUGAAAAAGUGCUAACUUUUGAAAACAGACCUUCCUUUGAAACUUCACCUUCAAGCUUGUUAUGCGACAGAUUGAGGAAUAUAAUUUGAUGAAACCCAUCAAAAAAACUUGGAAUACUCCCAGAGAUGUUAUUGUUGGAAAUAUCUAGAUAUGCAAGAUUUUUCAAAGCUUUGAAAGAGGAUGGAAUUUUACCUUGGAAAAGGUUUCCUCCCAUAUAUAGCUCCUCCAACAUCAAACAUCCUUCAAGAGUGGCGGGUAUAUCUCCUGUUAGUUUGUUAUAUGAAAGAUCUAGUCUAGCCAAAUGUUUCAAGCUUCCAAUGUUGGAUGGAAGUGGACCGGUGACUAAAUUCUGAGACAAAUUAAGGGAAAUACAAUGAGAAAGAAACACAAUUUCUUCGGGUAUUACCCCUCUAAGCAUGUUGUUAGCGAGGAAUAGGUCCUCUAGAGUUGAGAUGUUAAACAAUUUAGUGGGUAUGCUUCCUUGGAGCACAUUACCAUCUAAAUAGAGUUCAACUAAGUUAGUAAUGUUGCUAAAGGAAGUUGGAAUCACUCCUGAAAUGUUGUUUUCACUCAAAUAUAACCCACCUAACUUUGAUAAUCUUCCUAUUGAUUGUGGAAUACUCCCCGUUAAGAAGUUGACUUCAAAAUUAAGAUGUAUCAUGUUGACAAGUUUUCCGAUUUCAUGAGGUAUGCUUCCGUAUAUGUGGUUCCCAUACAGAUACAGGUCUUCCACAGUGGUGGAGAGAUUUGCAAUGGAACUAGGGAGCUCCCCUCUUAAACUAUUCUCGUGUAAGCCCAACGUCCUUAGAUGGGUACAAUUAACCAAGGAAUUGAAAAAGCUCCAUUCAUUAGACUGCAUAUUCUCUCCAAGUGGAUUAUGACCCAGCGCUAGCCAUUCAAUAUUAAGAAGGCUACCCAAAUUUUUUGGUAUAGGCCCAAUUAUGUUGUUAAAUGAUAGGUCAAGGAUGACAAGAUUGGAUGCAUUAGCUAUCGAAGGUGGAAGAGGGCCCGUAAAAGUGUUAUUUCCAGCGGAGAACUGUUGCAGUCUGGGAAGCUGGGUGAAGCCAAAACCUGGUGGAAGCGUUCCUUUAAACCUAUUAUCUUCUAGACCAAGAGAAAGGAGGGACGAAAUGUUGUAAAGUGGUAGGGGAACCAUACCUGACAACCUGUUUCCUGACAAACCAAGAACCUCUAGUUUUGUGAGAUGAGCCACUUCCUGAGGUAUCUCCCCAACUAAAGUAUUAUCAGCUAAAUAAAGAGCACGAAGAGAUGAUAUGUUCCCUAUUGAAGGUGGGAUGGAUCCAUCAAAAUGGUUCCGCGCAACAGAAAACACAUUAAGCUUAGACCAGGAAGAAAAAUCAGUGGGCAGUUUUCCUUCAAGAUCAUUGCUUUCCAAAUUCAUGUAUGUGAUAUCUCUGCAAUGAAGCAGAUUGGCA
Molecule: long non-coding RNA, 2010 nt
Filed under: Daucus carota (carrot)
Lineage: Eukaryota; Viridiplantae; Streptophyta; Magnoliopsida; Apiales; Apiaceae
Description: long non-coding RNA (DCAR_LNC000792)
Source: RNAcentral